UCUGAAUUUGUGUGAAUCUGGCGUAAGCCUGCGCUAACCAAAGGUGUGGACGGUGUCCCCGGAGAGGCCGGCUUCCGCGUCAGGUGGCGGGAGGGUGUACUAAGGAAUGGUCACACCCGCUGGUAAUUUCUGGAAGGGCUUAAUACAUGCACACUACAUAACCCGUGUGGGGCGGCAUGGGGGUAGGCGCUGGCGGCAGCGGUCGGAUGGUUGAUCAAAGAAGAUCAAUAAAACCGCGAUAGGACACACCGCUCAACAAAGGAGUGUGGACCGGUGCCUGGGAGACCUUCCCCGAGGGUGUCCUGCAUGUGGUCUCAGACCUAUCAACUAGAAGGCAGCGCUACACGGACAUGCCUACGGKACAACGAUA
This 370-nucleotide ribosomal RNA is filed under the name uncultured myxomycete. RNAcentral describes it as "partial small subunit ribosomal RNA". The record is from RNAcentral. Lineage: Eukaryota; Evosea; Eumycetozoa.